AGUCGACGAUGAAUCUUCUAGCUUGCUAGAAGUGGAUUAGUGGCGCACGGGUGAGUAAUGCAUAGGUUAUGUGCCCUUUAGUCUGGGAUAGCCACUGGAAACGGUGAUUAAUACUGGAUACUCCCUACGGGGGAAAGUUUUUCGCUAAAGGAUCAGCCUAUGUCCUAUCAGCUUGUUGGUGAGGUAAUGGCUCACCAAGGCUAUGACGGGUAUCCGGCCUGAGAGGGUGAUCGGACACACUGGAACUGAGACACGGUCCAGACUCCUACGGGAGGCAGCAGUAGGGAAUAUUGCUCAAUGGGGGAAACCCUGAAGCAGCAACGCCGCGUGGAGGAUGAAGGUUUUAGGAUUGUAAACUCCUUUUGUUAGAGAAGAUUAUGACGGUAUCUAACGAAUAAGCACCGGCUAACUCCGUGCCAGCAGCCGCGGUAAUACGGAGGGUGCAAGCGUUACUCGGAAUCACUGGGCGUAAAGAGUGCGUAGGCGGGGUAAUAAGUCAGAUGUGAAAUCCUGUAGCUUAACUACAGAACUGCAUUUGAAACUGUUACUCUGGAGUGUGGGAGAGGUAGGUGGAAUUCUUGGUGUAGGGGUAAAAUCCGUAGAGAUCAAGAGGAAUACUCAUUGCGAAGGCGACCUGCUGGAACAUUACUGACGCUGAUGCACGAAAGCGUGGGGAGCAAACAGGAUUAGAUACCCUGGUAGUCCACGCCCUAAACGAUGGAUGCUAGUUGUUGCCUUGCUUGUCAGGGCAGUAAUGCAGCUAACGCAUUAAGCAUCCCGCCUGGGGAGUACGGUCGCAAGAUUAAAACUCAAAGGAAUAGACGGGGACCCGCACAAGCGGUGGAGCAUGUGGUUUAAUUCGAAGAUACGCGAAGAACCUUACCUAGGCUUGGCAUUGA
This 899-nucleotide ribosomal RNA is filed under the name uncultured bacterium. Its description in RNAcentral is "bacterial SSU rRNA". It matches the Rfam family "Bacterial small subunit ribosomal RNA", at positions 60 to 990 of the family's 1533-position model. The record is from RNAcentral.